AGUGAACGCUGGCGGCAGGCCUAACACAUGCAAGUCGAGCGGCAGCGCGUCCGACCACCCUCGGGUGGUCGGAUGGCGGCGAGCGGCGGACGGGUGAGGAAUGCAUCGGAAUCUGCCUCGUUGUGGGGGAUAACGUAGGGAAACUUACGCUAAUACCGCAUACGACCUACGGGUGAAAGUGGGGGACCUUCGGGCCUCACGCGAUGAGAUGAGCCGAUGCCGGAUUAGCUAGUUGGCGGGGUAAAGGCCCACCAAGGCGACGAUCCGUAGCUGGUCUGAGAGGAUGAUCAGCCACACUGGAACUGAGACACGGUCCAGACUCCGUACGGGAGGCAGCAGGUGGGGAAUAGUUGGAACAAGGUGGGGGACCAACCCGUGACUCCAGCCAUCGCCGCGUGUGUAGAAG
RNAcentral lists this ribosomal RNA (406 nucleotides) under uncultured bacterium. RNAcentral describes it as "bacterial SSU rRNA". It matches the Rfam family "Bacterial small subunit ribosomal RNA", at positions 30 to 413 of the family's 1533-position model. The record is from RNAcentral.